This 87-nucleotide transfer RNA is filed under the name Meiothermus granaticius NBRC 107808. RNAcentral's name for it is "tRNA-Gly". The record is from RNAcentral. Lineage: Bacteria; Thermotogati; Deinococcota; Deinococci; Thermales; Thermaceae.
GCCAGCGUGGUGGUGUACAGCCUGAUUCCCCAUCAGGAGGUGUUGCUGUGGCGCUUGGGAGCGCGGGUGCUAUUCCUGCCGCUGGUG